UACAGAGGUCCCAAGCGUUGUUCGGAUUCACUGGGCGUAAAGAGCGUGUAGGCGGCCACGCAGGUCCGUUGUGAAAACUGGAGGCUCAACCUUCAGACGUCGACGGAAACCGUGUGGCUAGAGUCCGGAAGAGGAGAGUGGAAUUCCUGGUGUAGCGGUGAAAUGCGCAGAUAUCAGGAAGAACACCAAUGGCGAAGGCAGCUCUCUGGGACGGUACUGACGCUGAGACGCGAAAGCGUGGGGAGCGAACAGG
RNAcentral lists this ribosomal RNA (253 nucleotides) under uncultured bacterium. RNAcentral's name for it is "partial 16S ribosomal RNA". It matches the Rfam family "Bacterial small subunit ribosomal RNA", at positions 524 to 776 of the family's 1533-position model. The record is from RNAcentral.